Molecule: ribosomal RNA, 488 nt
Filed under: uncultured bacterium
Lineage: Bacteria
Description: bacterial SSU rRNA
Rfam family: Bacterial small subunit ribosomal RNA
Source: RNAcentral
CGAGUUUGAUCAUGGCUCAGGAUGAACGCUAGCGGCAGGCUUAAUACAUGCAAGUCAAGGGGGUAGCAAUACAACCGGCGCACGGGUGAGUAACACGUACACAACAUACCAUAUACUGAGGUAUAGCUUCGGGAAACUGAAGGUAAUCCCUCAUAGUAUUGUGAAAGGGCAUCUUUUUACAAUUAAAGUUUCGACGGUAUAUGAUUGGUGUGCGUUUGAUUAGCUAGUUGGUAGGGUAACGGCCUACCAAGGCAACGAUCAAUAGCUGGCGUGAGAGCGCGACCAGCCACACUGGAACUGAGACACGGUCCAGACUCCUACGGGAGGCAGCAGUAGGGAAUAUUGGACAAUGGGCGAAAGCCUGAUCCAGCCAUGCCGCGUGAUAGAUGAAGGCCCUCUGGGUUGUAAAUAUCUUUUAUCUGGGAAGAAACACUUCUAUUCUUAGAAGCUUGACGGUACCAGAGGAAUAAGCACCGGCUAACUCCGUG